CCUACGGGCGGCAGCAGUGAGGAAUAUUGGUCAAUGGCCGAAAGGCUGAACCAGCCAAGCCGCGUGAAGGACGAAUGUGCCAAGCAUUGUAAACUUCUUUUAUCAAGGGACAAAAUCAGGCUCGAGAGCCUGACCGUGUGUACUUGAAGAAAAAGCAUCGGCUAACUCCGUGCCAGCAGCCGCGGUAAUACGGAGGAUGCGAGCGUUAUCCGGAUUUAUUGGGUUUAAAGGGUGCGUAGGCGGGCUGUUAAGUCAGCGGUAAAAGCCCGGGGCUCAACCCCGGCGAGCCGUUGAAACUGGCUGUCUUGAGAUGUCGAGAGGUAUGCGGAAUGCGCAGUGUAGCGGUGAAAUGCUUAGAUAUUGCGAAGAACUCCGUUUGCGAAGGCAGCAUACCGGCGGCGAUCUGACGCUGAGGCACGAAAGCGUGGGUAUCGAACAGGAUUAGAUACCCUUGUAGUC
Molecule: ribosomal RNA, 459 nt
Filed under: uncultured bacterium
Lineage: Bacteria
Description: partial 16S ribosomal RNA
Rfam family: Bacterial small subunit ribosomal RNA
Source: RNAcentral